GACGAACGCUGGCGGCGUGCUUAACACAUGCAAGUCGAACGGAAAGGCGCUGCUUUUGUGGGGUUCUCGAGUGGCGAACGGGUGUGUAACACGUGAGUAACCUGCCCUUAUCUUUGGGAUAACUUCAGGAAACUGGGGCGAAUACCGCAGAGGAGCUCCUGCUGCAUGGGGGGGGUUGGAAAGUUUCGGCGGUUGGGGAUGGACUCGCGGCUCAUCAGCUUGUUGGUGUGGUAGGUGCUUACCAGGGAUUUGAAGGGUAGCCGGCCUGAGAGGGUUACCGGCCACAUUGGGACUGAGAUACGGACCAGACUCGUACGGGAGGCAGCAGUGGGGAAUAUUGCACAAUGGGCGGAAGCCUGAUGCAGAAACGCCGCGAGCGGGAUAACGGCCUUCGGGUUGUAAACAGCUUUCGCCUGUGACGAAGCGUGAGUGACGGUAAUGGGUCAAGAAGCAACGGCUAACUACGUG
This 468-nucleotide ribosomal RNA is filed under the name uncultured bacterium. RNAcentral's name for it is "partial 16S ribosomal RNA". It matches the Rfam family "Bacterial small subunit ribosomal RNA", at positions 28 to 507 of the family's 1533-position model. The record is from RNAcentral.